CCUACGGGAGGCAGCAGUGAGGAAUAUUGGUCAAUGGGCGAGAGCCUGAACCAGCCAAGUCGCGUGAGGGAGUACUGCCCUAUGGGUUGUAAACCUCUUUUGUCGGGGAGCAAAAGCCGGACGUGUCCGGCUGUGAGAGUACCCGAAGAAAAAGCAUCCGCUAACUCCGUGCCAGCAGCCGGGGUAAUACGGAGGAUGCGAGCGUUAUCCGGAUUUAUUGGGUUGAAAGGGUUCGAAGGCGGAUUUUUAAGGUAGCGGUAAAAUCGUGGGGCUCAACCCCAUCCAGCCGGUGAAACUGGGGAUCUAGAGUGUGAGAGAGGUAUGCGGAAUGCGUGGUGUAGCGGUGAAAUGCAUAGAUAUCACGCAGAACUCCGAUUGCGAAGGCAGCAUACCGGCGCGCAACUGACGCUCAUGCACGAAAGCGUGGGUAUCGAACAGGAUUAGAUACCCUUGUAGUC
This 458-nucleotide ribosomal RNA is filed under the name uncultured bacterium. RNAcentral's name for it is "partial 16S ribosomal RNA". It matches the Rfam family "Bacterial small subunit ribosomal RNA", at positions 338 to 795 of the family's 1533-position model. The record is from RNAcentral.